RNAcentral lists this transfer RNA (75 nucleotides) under Candidatus Omnitrophota bacterium. RNAcentral's name for it is "Candidatus Omnitrophica bacterium tRNA-Arg". It matches the Rfam family "tRNA". Rfam says of the family: Transfer RNA (tRNA) molecules are approximately 80 nucleotides in length. The record is from RNAcentral. RNAcentral also lists the same sequence under 1 other name. Lineage: Bacteria; Pseudomonadati; Candidatus Omnitrophota.
GCGCCUGUAGCUCAGCCCGGAUAGAGCAAGGGGUUCCUAACCCCUGUGCCGGAGGUUCAAAUCCUCUCAGGCGCA